This 130-nucleotide transfer RNA is filed under the name Thermoproteus tenax Kra 1. RNAcentral's name for it is "transfer RNA-Glu(CTC)". The stretch from base 70 to 130 matches the Rfam family "tRNA". Lineage: Archaea; Thermoproteati; Thermoproteota; Thermoprotei; Thermoproteales; Thermoproteaceae. The record is from RNAcentral.
GCCCCGGCUAGACGGGGGCCGUAGCCGAAGGCUACCCCACCCGGUCGUCUAGCCCGGUCAAGGGGCAACGCCCGGCUAGGGAUAUGGGCCUCUCGAGCCCAAGACCCGGGUUCAAAUCCCGGCCGGGGCA